This is a non-coding RNA of Nicotiana tabacum (common tobacco), 4995 nucleotides long. The record is from RefSeq and is a predicted model, not a curated record. NCBI's taxonomy places the organism in Eukaryota, Viridiplantae, Streptophyta, Magnoliopsida, Solanales, Solanaceae.
CACAUCGACUUUCAACCAGACUCCCCCAAAAUCUCAGACACCCCUUAGCUUUCUCUGUUCUUCAACCUAGAAUACACCGACGAACUCUGUCGACCAACUCUGGUGAAGGACGAUAAUUUCCGGUGAAGAACGACCAUUAUCGGCUAACAUACCAUAAUCUCCAAGGUAGGCGUUUGGUUUUUUACCCUGUUCGAUUUUCGCUUUCUUCUUCCCUAGUCUAAAAAAUUAUUUCAUUGUUUCUUUUAUUUUCUUUCUUUGAUAAUAUUUAUGAUAAACCCAUUUUACUUCUGUUUUGUCUGUAUUAUACGUUAUAUUUUGUGAUUUUUAGUUUGCGAAAUUGGGGGAUUUAUUUAUUAGGUUUUGAUUUUGUGUUAGAAACCAUGAGAUUUGAUGUUUGCUAUCGAUGUUCGAUGUUCGAUGAUAGUAUGAUGCCAUAGUGAAUGCUCCCUAUUGUAGUGUUGAUCAGAAUGGAGGAAGAGUUCCAUGAUAUGGUUUGGAGUUAGUAUCAUAAUUUACAUGGCUGAAAAGUUUAUCAUCACUACAUUGUUUUCUAGUCAUUCUCGUGAAAUAUUGAGUUAUUUGUUGACAAAGCUGCUGGAACAAGGUCAAAAUUCCAGUUAUUAUGAGAUGUUAAAUUAAUCUUGCUGUGAAGUGAUACCAUCCUAAUUGUAUAUAAUAUUUCUCCUCUCUCUAAGGGGUAAUUUCUGAAGUUGGAUUUUAAGUUCAUACGGGAAGAUUUUGCGAGGGAAGGGAUUUUAGAAUCCUGCCAUCUAUUUUCCGUUUUAAUUUGCUUUGGACAUCUCUCUUACUAAAGGUUUGUUACAAUUUUGUUCUCUAUAAUUUUUUGGCCAAGUUAUUUAGUAUGGACUUUUCCUGAGUAAUUUUUCAUUAGGUGGGUAUAUAGUCAUUUAGCAGUUAUGAUUUUAAAUGAACUAUACGAUGAUUGGCUCGAGAUGCUAGGGCAGUUGGCUUGGCUUAUACAAAAUGUGUAUUUAUUAUUUAAGAUUUAAAAUCACAAUUUUUGUAAUAUUGGUCAUGAGAAGUAAAUGAUAAUUCAGUUUGUAAUCAUUAUGGCAAUACCUUGUAACCAGAAUCAGCUUGUUGGACCUUUUGCAUGAGCGAAUUGCUCCUAAAGAAAACACAUGUUGAAACUACCACUGCAAAGUUUGGUUUCUUUUAUUUCACUCGAUACGAGUAUUCUGAAGUUUAUUUGGCUUAUUUACUAAUUCCCAAGCUCCGUUCGUUUAUUGGUAUUUAUAUUUGUGGUUUUCUUAAUAAUUCGGAGCUUCGCAAAUUGGUCAGUUUCUCGUCGAUACUGUUUUUUGCUUCCUAUGCUUUAGUUAUGUGUAAAGUAGUAGCGUUCUAUGCCAUUUCUUAGUUUCUUGUGUGAUAGUUGUAUGUAGUUGAUUUAAAUAUUUAUGCUUCUUGAAUGCUAUAUUAAUCCUGAAAGCUCCUAGAAGUUUCAUGUUUAAAGCAAUGUUAUUAAAAGCGAGCGCUUCUCGCUUAAAGCGCAAAAUCAAAGCGAGGCGAGGGGUCUACGCUUUUCUGCCCUGAAGCAGGUAAAUUUCUCUUCUCUUCUUCUCUUCUUCUGCUUCUUCUCUUUUUUCUCUUCUCUCCCUCUUCUGAUUUCUCUGCUACUGUUCGACUCCUCUCAUCUUUUCUCUUUCCUUUAUAUUUUUGUUAUUUCUUCUUUUCUAUCAUGCCUUGUUUCUCUUUUAUCUGGUAUAACCUCAGUUUUAUUAUAGUAAUUUUUUCUACACAUUUCCAUCUAGAAGCAAAGAUGAACUCCACCUAUGUCACCUAGAAAAGGGAUUAUAUAAAACCAUUUUUAAGUAUUGAUUGCUAAAACUGCCUCCCGGUACCAACUCCAAAGGGUCCCUGUUAAUAACUCUGCAUAGAUGGUCUAGUUUGUAUCAGUUCCUUGUAUAUUAAGCUUGUUUUUGCCGGUUAAUAUAGCAGUCAUGAAGGAUGAUGAUAUAACGCAUGCAUGUAUUUGUGGUUGUUUCAUUUUAAUAAGCUUCAGGAUCAUUCCAUUAUUUUAGUUUGUAUCUGUUCCUUGUAUAUUAAGCUUGUUUUUGCUGGUUAAUAUAGCAGUCAUAUAUACCAUCUUUACUUGUUUAAAUGUCUUUGUAUGCAAUGUUUAGUCCUUUUACUGUACUAAAGCUACUAAAUGGUGUAGGUAGUUUGGGAGCAUGAACAAUUUUCAAGACUGAGAGUCAUUGCACCAACACUAUCUGAAUUCUGCUGCACCUGAAUUACUGGAAAGCACAUGAGGCUGAUAACAGACUGUGGCUUAGCUUCUAAUACCUCUGUGUUCUAUUGUUAUAACUUCAUAUACUAGUUAGUGCUUUUGGUUGAUUGUUUUUCAGCAUUUUGUUAUACUUUUUUCUAUCUUUUUUGGAAUUUUAAUUUUUUAAUGUUGCAAAGUGUUGAAGCUCGAUUUGCACUCCUUUGGCCAUUUGUCUUUGAUUUGCUUUUUGAUGUAAAAAACAGAGCUCUGCUGUGUUAAGAAAUCAGUCAUUGACUGUUGUUAAGACAGAGAUUAGUGUUGUUUACAGCAGUGUUUUGCAGAUCUGGACAGUGUUUUUUUUUAUGCAAAUCUAGACACUGUUAGACAGUGUUGUUUACAACAGUAUUUUUUUUUGCAAAUCUGGACAGUUUUUUUUUGCAAAUCUGGACAGUGUUAUUUAUAGCAGAGUUUUCUUUUGCAAAUCUGGACAGUUUUGGACAAUGUUGUUUAUGGCAGUGUUUUUUUUUGCAAAUUUGGAUAGUUUUGGACAGUGCUAGAAAUUUUUUUGGCUUAGUUUGCACAACAGUGUUUUGUUUUGUUAAUUUUCCAAGGUUGUUGGUUCAUGAACAUGUGAUUUAACCUGUGGUUUCCACAAUUUGUUCCCAUUCGAGCAGUAACAAGUCUUCCUUAUACGAGCUAUCACAUGCUUACUGGGGUGAUUUAGAGGUCAAAACUGAGGCUGUUGAAAUGGAAAAUAGCCUGAUGGCCUCUUCUUUGCAAGUUCUGCCUUCUGCACUCUUUAGAAACACUAGACUGUAGAGUAGGAGGACCACAUACUAUCACACCAAUAUCUACACUUCCCCAACUCUUUGCAUGUGAUCCAAAUAUCUCUGCAGAAAAAGAAGUUAAAACACAUUGUCAUGAAAAUAUAGUAGUACACAUUAAAAUGUUUCUCCAAAUGUACCUUAGAAAUCUGGUCUUUCACCAUGUCGGAUAGUAUUAACAGAUCGAGCCUCUUCCAGAUUCUUAUGUAAAGAGGCCUCAAAAUUUUGCUGUAGGAUGUCAACCUUCUUUAUGUUGUCCUCUGGCUCCUCCUUCAGUGAGGUUUUCCUUUCCCAAAGAUACCAUAAAGCGAUCACGAGACCCCCAAAUAUAACAACACUUGCAACCAUGCAUCCAAUCAACAAAAGACCCUUGUACCACCAGUAAUAUAUGUUGUGUGGAUUUAUGUAGAAAAAAAAGUUGACAACCCCUUAUUUAUCUUUGACAGGUGAAUAAGAAAAGAGGAAACUCAUAAGAAGAGGUCUACUGUGGAGGUAAAGGUUCUGAUAAAUAUGAAUCAAGAAAGACCUUCAAAAGCCAAAAGAAAGACAAACGUCACAUACAUAAAAGCUGGAACAAUGGCAUCUUUGGCAAACCAAAUAAGGAGUUCGUUUAGCCAAAAAUAUGUUGUUCCUGCACGUCCAUCUAACAAAGAGCGUCCAUCUAACAAAGAGAGUCGAAUAUCAUUGAAGAGAAUCAGCUAAUACCCCAAUAUCCAGAAGUAGCAGUCAAUGUACACACUAGAUCAACCACUCCUGCAACAGAAGUAGUAGAGGAACAAGUCCAGUUGGAUUUGGCAAUUCCUAUCACAGAUGAACAAUGUGAAGAACAAGGCCCUUCCAUUCAAAGGAGAAAAAGAGGUUGAACAAAGAUGAAAAGUGUACAUGGACGGCAAGAGCGUAAAUUGAUUUUAAUUAACUACUUAAAUCAACCUGUUGGUCCUACUGAAGCUGUUGUGCUAGAGUUUGGAAGUUUCCUCGGCACGUUGGCAAGGAAUGCGACUCUAUGUCCUCUUGAUAUUUUGGAUUGGAGGAAGAUGGAUACAAAAGAGGAUGUAUGGGAAUAUACCAAGAAAAUGUCCAAAACUAAUAUUGAAAACCGGGAAAAGUUGAAGAAUCCUUACACUGCUGGAAAAAGAAGUUUUGCUUUAGUUCGCUCUAAGUUGGAAAAUGAUAAGGAAAUUUCGGAUCCUUUAACACCAAAGGAAGUCUUUGUAGCUGCAAGAAAAAGGAAAGCUGGACGAUCAUACAUGUUCUUGGAUGAAGACACAACUAGUAAAAUUGCUGAAAUGGAGGAUAUAAAAGCAUAACAAACUGAAAAUGGCAAUGAGCCCAUAGAGGCAUUUGCAGCUGUCAUGGGACAGGAACAUCCAAGGCGUUUGAGAUUGUAUGGACGGGGGGUUACAAGAACUUCUUUGAGAGGAAAAGUAGGAUGUUCUGAACACUCUUCACAUUCCACAAAUUGUUUGCAAAAAAUGGAGGAAAAAAUACAGAGAAUGGAAGAAAAAAUUGAGGAACAAAAGGCAACUAUUUGUCAAGAAGUUAUUGCGGAUGUUCUUGCACGACUUCAACGUUCUGGAAUUAACAUUGAUGCUAAUAUUAUUCUAGCAGCAUUGGGUGAUAAUUCACCAAGAGAAGUUUCAUCUUCACAACAAACAACUUUGCAACCAAUUCAUCGUCCAUCUAUUGGUAGCAUCAAAGGAGGCCAGCUCAUUACAGGUGCAACGAUUGCAGAUGAAAGCAGUGAUGAAGACCUUACCUGAGUGUUGUUGAUCGUUGCUAGACUUUCUCAUUAUGUUCCAGGAUAUUUUAGUUUAGAACUUUUUGUACGCAAACUCAUCUAUUUCAACUUAGAUAUUGUUGAUCAAACAAUAUUGCAUAUUUUAUUUUUGUGUAUGGAUAAUGCUAGUUUGAUAUUUCAAUGUUAUUUUGUAGUUUAUAUAA